Molecule: ribosomal RNA, 1423 nt
Filed under: Staphylococcus edaphicus
Lineage: Bacteria; Bacillati; Bacillota; Bacilli; Caryophanales; Staphylococcaceae
Description: bacterial SSU rRNA
Rfam family: Bacterial small subunit ribosomal RNA
Source: RNAcentral
AUACAUGCAGUCGAGCGAACAGAUAAGGAGCUUGCUCCUUUGACGUUAGCGGCGGACGGGUGAGUAACACGUGGGUAACCUACCUAUAAGACUGGGAUAACUUCGGGAAACCGGAGCUAAUACCGGAUAACAUUUGGAACCGCAUGGUUCUAAAGUGAAAGAUGGUUUUGCUAUCACUUAUAGAUGGACCCGCGCCGUAUUAGCUAGUUGGUAAGGUAACGGCUUACCAAGGCGACGAUACGUAGCCGACCUGAGAGGGUGAUCGGCCACACUGGAACUGAGACACGGUCCAGACUCCUACGGGAGGCAGCAGUAGGGAAUCUUCCGCAAUGGGCGAAAGCCUGACGGAGCAACGCCGCGUGAGUGAUGAAGGGUUUCGGCUCGUAAAACUCUGUUAUUAGGGAAGAACAAACGUGUAAGUAACUGUGCACGUCUUGACGGUACCUAAUCAGAAAGCCACGGCUAACUACGUGCCAGCAGCCGCGGUAAUACGUAGGUGGCAAGCGUUAUCCGGAAUUAUUGGGCGUAAAGCGCGCGUAGGCGGUUUCUUAAGUCUGAUGUGAAAGCCCACGGCUCAACCGUGGAGGGUCAUUGGAAACUGGGAAACUUGAGUGCAGAAGAGGAAAGUGGAAUUCCAUGUGUAGCGGUGAAAUGCGCAGAGAUAUGGAGGAACACCAGUGGCGAAGGCGACUUUCUGGUCUGUAACUGACGCUGAUGUGCGAAAGCGUGGGGAUCAAACAGGAUUAGAUACCCUGGUAGUCCACGCCGUAAACGAUGAGUGCUAAGUGUUAGGGGGUUUCCGCCCCUUAGUGCUGCAGCUAACGCAUUAAGCACUCCGCCUGGGGAGUACGACCGCAAGGUUGAAACUCAAAGGAAUUGACGGGGACCCGCACAAGCGGUGGAGCAUGUGGUUUAAUUCGAAGCAACGCGAAGAACCUUACCAAAUCUUGACAUCCUUUGAAAACUCUAGAGAUAGAGCCUUCCCCUUCGGGGGACAAAGUGACAGGUGGUGCAUGGUUGUCGUCAGCUCGUGUCGUGAGAUGUUGGGUUAAGUCCCGCAACGAGCGCAACCCUUAAGCUUAGUUGCCAUCAUUAAGUUGGGCACUCUAGGUUGACUGCCGGUGACAAACCGGAGGAAGGUGGGGAUGACGUCAAAUCAUCAUGCCCCUUAUGAUUUGGGCUACACACGUGCUACAAUGGACAAUACAAAGGGCAGCUAAACCGCGAGGUCAUGCAAAUCCCAUAAAGUUGUUCUCAGUUCGGAUUGUAGUCUGCAACUCGACUACAUGAAGCUGGAAUCGCUAGUAAUCGUAGAUCAGCAUGCUACGGUGAAUACGUUCCCGGGUCUUGUACACACCGCCCGUCACACCACGAGAGUUUGUAACACCCGAAGCCGGUGGAGUAACCAUUUAUGGAGCUAGCC